RNAcentral lists this long non-coding RNA (395 nucleotides) under Gossypium barbadense (sea-island cotton). RNAcentral's name for it is "long non-coding RNA (GBAR_LNC022134)". Lineage: Eukaryota; Viridiplantae; Streptophyta; Magnoliopsida; Malvales; Malvaceae. The record is from RNAcentral.
AAAUUUAAAAAAGUCAAUUAAUUCAAAUAAUAGUAGUUCAGGUCGGUUAACCGAUUGAACACCCUUAUCUAUUUCAACUAAAAAACCAAACUUUAUCUCUAAAUAUAUCAACCAAUAUCAACUUUAAAAUUUAAACUUACUCCAAAACUCAUUAACACCUCUAGAUGCUACAAAAGCUUAAUAUUUUACGUGCUUAUUGAAAUCUACACGUUUAGAAUUAUAUACUAUUUGGUGGGCCUAUCGAGGCAGAGAAGCCGAGGUGAUACCCACUGCAACACACACAUGCUACCUUUCUCUCUCCAUUUUCUUUUCUAUUUCAUCUCCUUCUUAACUUAUUAUAAAUACUCACCCGUCACUCCAUUUCUUCACUCCUCUCUCAUUAUCUCUCAGCCCCC